CAGUCGCCGCGGUAAUACGAAGGGUGCAAGCGUUAAUCGGAAUUACUGGGCGUAAAACGUGCGUAGGCGGUUUGUUAAGUCUGUUGUGAAAUCCCCGGGCUCAACCUGGGAAUGGCAAUGGAUACUGGCAAGCUAGAGUGUGUCAGAGGAUGGUGGAAUUCCCGGUGUAGCGGUGAAAUGCGUAGAGAUCGGGAGGAACAUCAGUGGCGAAGGCGGCCAUCUGGGACAACACUGACGCUGAGGCACGAAAGCGUGGGGAGCAAACAGGAUUAGAUACCCCUGUAGUCCCUGUCUCUUAUAC
Molecule: ribosomal RNA, 301 nt
Filed under: uncultured bacterium
Lineage: Bacteria
Description: partial 16S ribosomal RNA
Rfam family: Bacterial small subunit ribosomal RNA
Source: RNAcentral